ACAUGCAAGUCGAACGGCAGCACGGACUUCGGUCUGGUGGCGAGUGGCGAACGGGUGAGUAAUGUAUCGGAACGUGCCCAGUAGCGGGGGAUAACUACGCGAAAGCGUAGCUAAUACCGCAUACGCCCUACGGGGGAAAGCAGGGGAUCGCAAGACCUUGCACUAUUGGAGCGGCCGAUAUCGGAUUAGCUAGUUGGUGGGGUAACGGCUCGCCAAGGCGACGAUCCGUAGCUGGUUUGAGAGGACGACCAGCCACACUGGGACUGAGACACGGCCCAGACUCCUACGGGAGGCAGCAGUGGGGAAUUUUGGACAAUGGGGGAAACCCUGAUCCAGCCAUCCCGCGUGUGCGAUGAAGGCCUUCGAGUUGUAAAGCACUUUUGGCAGGAAAGAAACGUCGCGGGUUAAUACCCCGCGGAACUGACGGUACCUGCAGAAUAAGCACCGGCUAACUACGUGCCAGCAGCCGCGGUAAUACGUAGGGUGCAAGCGUUAAUCGGAAUUACUGGGCGUAAAGCGUGCGCAGGCGGUUCGGAAAGAAAGAUGUGAAAUCCCAGAGCUUAACUUUGGAACUGCAUUUUUAACUACCGGGCUAGAGUGUGUCAGAGGGAGGUGGAAUUCCGCGUGUAGCAGUGAAAUGCGUAGAUAUGCGGAGGAACACCGAUGGCGAA
RNAcentral lists this ribosomal RNA (671 nucleotides) under uncultured Achromobacter sp. RNAcentral's name for it is "bacterial SSU rRNA". It matches the Rfam family "Bacterial small subunit ribosomal RNA", at positions 53 to 719 of the family's 1533-position model. The record is from RNAcentral. Lineage: Bacteria; Pseudomonadati; Pseudomonadota; Betaproteobacteria; Burkholderiales; Alcaligenaceae.